This 200-nucleotide ribosomal RNA is filed under the name uncultured bacterium. RNAcentral describes it as "partial 16S ribosomal RNA". It matches the Rfam family "Bacterial small subunit ribosomal RNA", at positions 8 to 210 of the family's 1533-position model. The record is from RNAcentral.
AGAGUUUGAUCCUGGCUCAGAUUGAACGCUGGCGGCGUGCUUAACACAUGCAAGUCGAGCGGAAAGGCCCUUCGGGGUACUCGAGCGGCGAACGGGUGAGUAACACGUGAGCAAUCUGCCCCUAGCUCUGGGAUAGCUCCGGGAAACCGGAAUUAAUACUGGAUAUGACCACGGCUGACAUCGGCUGUGGUGGAAAGAUU